AGUCUAAACCCCAACCUAACACACUCCCUUACUCUCUCUCUCUCACGCUUCUCUCUCUUUAUCUCUUCCGCCUCCUACGUCGUCGCCUCUGGUGCCGCCAUCGGCGACCACCACUGCCGUCGCCUCCACCUCCUCCCUCACUGCCCCUCUCUCUCUUCUCCUGUUCUCUUCACCUAUCUUCACCAGUCGUCUACUUCGUCUUCUCCACUCUCGUCGUCAGUUCAAGCUUUGUCGGUUCGUCUCCAUUGUCGUCGGGUAACAAGCAUCGCCGUCGGCGCACAAGAGCACCACCGUCGCAACACCGUCGAUCCAUCACCCCAAGUUUUCUUUCAUCAAUAAAGUUUUUGGUUGAAACCCCCCAAAGAGAGGCAGCAGAAAGCUUUUGAGGAUGAAAUUGAAAGAAUUACUUUAGAAGCACAAAGUCGUAUCUCUGAAGCUGAAAAAACCUUUGCAGACGCAUUAGAGAGAGAGAGAGAACUGCAGAUGGAUUAUAUGGAAUCAAUUAAAAAGCUCGAAGAAAAGUGGGUGCUGAAUCAACAAAAGCAUGGCAAUAAUAGCUUCAUAAACGGCACAUAUAAUGGAGAGGUAGCCAACAGUUGAACUGUGUCUUGUAUUAUGUAUUGGUAAUUUCAGCCUGUCCUCUCAAGCUACUGCUUCCUUGUCAUUUUAAAAUAAUAUUGGAGUUUUGCAUUGUCCAGUCCAGUGUCAACGAGAGUGAUUAUAUAUCUUUAAUGGUUCUAUUUAUCAACAAAAUAUAUCUUUAAUGGUUGCAUCUACUGUGUUGAUGUGAAUGGGGACCACAGAAAUUCAUAGUUCCUAAGUGUUUGUCCAUUUACUUUUUUCCAUUUUUAAGGGACUAUGUUCUGUAUGUCAUUAUUGUUUUGCACGAACAUAUUGAUUUGCAUGUUAAGGUGCCAACACAAAAGGUUGAAGGAGAUAUUAUUUUGUGUUGGCUGGUUGUUUUUGGAACCAAAACUCAAUUAUAUUGUCAAAAUUUUCUUGUGGAAUAUAUUAAGAGCUGUUAGCCUCA
Molecule: non-coding RNA, 1030 nt
Organism: Camellia sinensis
Lineage: Eukaryota; Viridiplantae; Streptophyta; Magnoliopsida; Ericales; Theaceae
Source: RefSeq, a predicted model, not a curated record